This is a long non-coding RNA of Saccostrea cuccullata (small rock oyster), 493 nucleotides long. RefSeq lists it as uncharacterized. The transcript is spliced from 3 exons. The record is from RefSeq and is a predicted model, not a curated record. NCBI's taxonomy places the organism in Eukaryota, Metazoa, Mollusca, Bivalvia, Ostreida, Ostreidae.
AAGAAACAAUGGACACAGUGGACUCAUUCCUCAAACAAAAGGAACCACAAAGUGUUGUAUCAAAACCUUCAGUGCCACCAAAGCAGUCUGCACUGUAAAAUGUAUAAAAAAAAUUGUCUGAUAACACUGUACAGAAGGUCACUGAGAAAUGUAGCCAAAUGAAAUCUGGGUCCAAACAAGAGCCAAUGUCUAUUAGAAAGACACUCCCAGAGGACUACAGACCUGUGGUUAACACAGCCCUGUUCUUAGAUGACUGGUCACCUGACAGUUUUACUCUAUUGGAAGCAGACAGUUUCUAUGGACCAGAGAUUCUUGUCACUUCUGGCUCUCACUGCUUUGUGGCUCCUGUGCCUUUCUUCUGAUUUUGGACUUCUGAAUAUUCGUUGAGAGUUUGGAUAUUCAGUUUUGGACUUCUGAAUAUUCCUGGAGAGUUUGGACAUUCAGUUUUGGAACACCACCUUAGUGCUAUGCAACCACAGUCUUUCAGUGACAU